This 450-nucleotide ribosomal RNA is filed under the name uncultured bacterium. RNAcentral's name for it is "partial 16S ribosomal RNA". It matches the Rfam family "Bacterial small subunit ribosomal RNA", at positions 354 to 796 of the family's 1533-position model. The record is from RNAcentral.
GUGGGGAAUCUUCCACAAUGGACGAAAGUCUGAUGGAGCAACGCCGCGUGAGUGAAGAAGGGUUUCGGCUCGUAAAGCUCUGUUGUCGGGGACGAAUGUGCAGUAUUUGAAUAAAGUACUGCAAUGACGGUACCUGACGAGGAAGCCACGGCUAACUACGUGCCAGCAGCCGCGGUAAUACGUAGGUGGCAAGCGUUGUCCGGAAUUAUUGGGCGUAAAGGGAGCGCAGGCGGGAAGGUAAGUCGGUCUUAAAAGUGCGGGGCUCAACCCCGUGAUGGGAUCGAAACUAUCUUUCUUGAGUGCAGGAGAGGAAAGUGGAAUUCCUAGUGUAGCGGUGAAAUGCGUAGAUAUUAGGAGGAACACCAGUGGCGAAGGCGACUUUCUGGACUGUAACUGACGCUGAGGCUCGAAAGCCAUGGGAGCGAACGGGAUUAGAUACCCUUGUAGUCC